AACAGAUCAGCUAAAAUCCAUGAAUAAUUUAUGCUUGUUCUGUUCACUCCCAAGAAUGUCACUGCGGAGCUCUGCGAAGUCUCCAGUCUCCGUUGUAAACGAACCCAAGGCCUUCAGAUCCACAGGACCCUGGUGGUAAGAGACAUGGAAAAUAUCAGAAAGAAAAGAGAAGGAAAACUGGUCCAUCUUCGCAAUAACAUCACAGAUGCCCAUGUGUUCUUCACCUGAAGUCAAUUCCUUGGACAACCUUGCUCUGACGUGUCAACCAGUGGGUUCAAGUAGAGAAGGCUGAGCCCAAAGUGCACAACAGUGGGUGUGUCAUUAUACACCGACCAGGACAACCAACAAACACACAGGCACACAAUCCCAUUCUAAAAUGGGCAAAGGACCUGAACAGAUGUUUCUCCAAAGAAGACAGACUGGCAGCUGAUGAACAUGAGGAAAGAUGCUCAACAUUACUGACCACUAGGGAAACGCCAACCAAAACCACCAUGAGACACCACCUCACACCCAAUAGGGUGGCUCCCAGAAAAUAAGACCAGAAACCAACUGUUGGUGAGAAAGUGAAGCAACUGGAAGCCUGAGCACUGUUGGUAGGAAUGUAAAUUAGUGCGACUCCUUUGGAAAACAGUCUGAUGGUUCCUCAAAGAAUUAAAAAUGGAAUUAUCCUAUGAUCCAGCAAUUCCAGUUGUGUGUAUUCCCAAAAGAACUGAAAACAGGGACUUGAAAAGGUAUUUGUACACCCAUGUUCAGAGCAGAGUUAUUCACAACAGCCAAAAGAUAGAAGCAAACCAAGUGUCCAUCAGUGGAUGAUGGAUAAGUGAAAUGUGGUCCAUCCACAUGAUGGAUGAUGAUUCAGCCUUAAAAAGGAGGAGAGUCUGACACCCACUGAAACAUGGGUGAACCUCGAGGACAUGAUGCUAAAUGACACAGCAGACAUGAAGGAACACACAGUGUAAGAUCCCACUUCUAUAAGGACCUGGAAGGCUCUCUCUGACACUUCAGCCACGUGAGAUCUGAAGAGCAAACCGCAUGCUGGACACAGGAAAUGAGGUGCAACCCUUCAUUCCUACAUGUGCAAUGGCCUCCCUGGAGAAGUGUCAGGGGUUUCUUCAUGACCACAUGAGCUCAGGACUCUGCCCAGUGACCGGGCCAUCCUGUCUGGGAAGGGGCAGCUGCAGAGUAGGACGUCACAGCCUGGCCACGUCCUCCGGGUGGUGUGAUGGACCCUGGGGACACUGAGCUUGGGGUCCUGGUCAGCAGGGUCCUCUGUGGUCAGUCACGCACCGUUCACUAUAAAUCCUCAGGCAUUUUUCUUGUUCCCAACUGGGAGAGGA
Cervus elaphus (red deer) is the source of this 1337-nucleotide long non-coding RNA. RefSeq lists it as uncharacterized. The record is from RefSeq and is a predicted model, not a curated record. NCBI's taxonomy places the organism in Eukaryota, Metazoa, Chordata, Mammalia, Artiodactyla, Cervidae. The transcript has 3 exons.